This 74-nucleotide transfer RNA is filed under the name Macleaya cordata. It matches the Rfam family "tRNA". Rfam says of the family: Transfer RNA (tRNA) molecules are approximately 80 nucleotides in length. The record is from Rfam by way of RNAcentral. Lineage: Eukaryota; Viridiplantae; Streptophyta; Magnoliopsida; Ranunculales; Papaveraceae.
GGUCGCCUAUGUCAAUUGGUUAGAGCGUUGGUCUUAUGCGCCAAAGGACGCAGGUUCGAGCCCCGCCGGGACCA